Molecule: ribosomal RNA, 990 nt
Filed under: Triticum aestivum (bread wheat)
Lineage: Eukaryota; Viridiplantae; Streptophyta; Magnoliopsida; Poales; Poaceae
Description: partial small subunit ribosomal RNA
Source: RNAcentral
AUGGCCGCGGCGUCGUUCGCCCGCCUCUUGCCGCCCCUCCUCUCCCUCCUCCUCCUCGCCGGCGCCGCGCGGGGCAAGACGGUGAAGAGAGACGUGAAAGCGUUGAAUGAGAUCAAGGCUUCACUAGGAUGGAGAGUUGUCUACUCAUGGGUCGGCGAUGACCCUUGUGGGCAUGGUGACCUUCCCCCCUGGUCUGGUGUGACAUGUACUCAGCAAGGGGAUUACAGAGUUGUCACCGAACUGGAAGUCUAUGCUGUGUCAAUAGUUGGUCCAUUCCCUACAGCGGUAACAAACCUGCUGGAUUUAAAAAAACUGGAUCUCCACAAUAAUAAGUUGACGGGGCCAAUUCCUCCACAGAUCGGACGGCUGAGACACCUCAAGAUAUUGAACCUGAGGUGGAAUAAGCUUCAAGAUGUGCUCCCGCCCGAAAUUGGUGACCUAAAGAAACUUACACACUUGUAUUUGAGCUUCAAUAACUUCAAAGGUGAAAUCCCUGUGGAGCUUGCAAACCUACCAGAACUACGCUAUCUUUAUCUUCAUGAGAACCGCUUUACUGGGCGGAUCCCCCCUGAGCUUGGAACUCUCAAAAAUCUCCGUCACCUUGAUGUUGGUGGCAACCACUUGAUAGGCACUCUGAGGGAAGUCUUCAGCAUUGAGAAUGGCUUCCCCUCCUUGAGAAACCUAUACGUUAAUAAUAAUCAAUUGGCUGGAGUGGUGCCAGAUCAGAUUGCGAAUUUGACCAACCUUGAGAUCUUGCACUUGUCCAAUAAUAGGCUGAUUGGAUCGAUAUCGCCAAAGCUAGUUCAGAUCCCAAGAUUGACAUAUCUGUAUUUGGACAACAACAACUUCAUUGGAAGGAUUCCUGAAGGGUUAUACAAGCAUCCAUUUCUGAAGGAGCUGUACAUUGAGGGGAACCAGUUUAGGCCAGGAAGCAGAUCAAAAGGAGUGCACAAGGUGCUUGAAUUACCCGAGGCCGACCUCUCGGUUUAA